RNAcentral lists this long non-coding RNA (202 nucleotides) under Marmota monax (woodchuck). The record is from RNAcentral. Lineage: Eukaryota; Metazoa; Chordata; Mammalia; Rodentia; Sciuridae.
UCUGCUCCAUAGCUGAUGCUAAGCAAAGCUGAGAACCAAAGCCUGUUACAGCUCUGUGAAGAAACUGAGGCAUAGAAAGGUUAAGUGACUUGCCAAAGGUCCCACAGCUUUUUUUCUUAUAAGGCUAAGAAAAAUCACAAACCACAUGUCAGUGAGUCAGCAAGAUCUAGAUCCCGGGCUGGGGAUGUGGCUCAAGCGGUAG